RNAcentral lists this ribosomal RNA (425 nucleotides) under uncultured bacterium. RNAcentral's name for it is "partial 16S ribosomal RNA". It matches the Rfam family "Bacterial small subunit ribosomal RNA", at positions 354 to 796 of the family's 1533-position model. The record is from RNAcentral.
GUAGGGAAUCUUGCGCAAUGGGCGAAAGCCUGACGCAGCCAUGCCGCGUGAAUGAUGAAGGUCUUAGGAUUGUAAAAUUCUUUCACCGGGGACGAUAAUGACGGUACCCGGAGAAGAAGCCCCGGCUAACUUCGUGCCAGCAGCCGCGGUAAUACGAAGGGGGCUAGCGUUGCUCGGAAUUACUGGGCGUAAAGGGCGCGUAGGCGGACAGCUUAGUCAGAGGUGAAAGCCCAGGGCUCAACCUUGGAAUUGCCUUUGAUACUGGCUGUCUUGAGUUUGGGAGAGGUGAGUGGAACUCCGAGUGUAGAGGUGAAAUUCGUAGAUAUUCGGAAGAACACCAGUGGCGAAGGCGACUCACUGGCCCAAUACUGACGCUGAGGCGCGAAAGCGUGGGGAGCAAACAGGAUUAGAUACCCCGGUAGUCC